AUGGCGCCGGUGUUCUCGAGGGAUGCCUGGAGAUGCGUGUGGCACAUGAUCCAGCAUUUCAAAACAGAACAAUAUGAAAUUAUGCAGAAAUAUGAUAAUUCAUCAUGUAAACAUACUCAAGUUCAUCUAAACAUACUCAACCGUACUCAGCCUUGA
This 156-nucleotide ribosomal RNA is filed under the name Triticum aestivum (bread wheat). RNAcentral's name for it is "partial small subunit ribosomal RNA". Lineage: Eukaryota; Viridiplantae; Streptophyta; Magnoliopsida; Poales; Poaceae. The record is from RNAcentral.